This 653-nucleotide ribosomal RNA is filed under the name uncultured bacterium. RNAcentral describes it as "bacterial SSU rRNA". It matches the Rfam family "Bacterial small subunit ribosomal RNA", at positions 37 to 665 of the family's 1533-position model. The record is from RNAcentral.
UGGCGGAGUGCCUCAUACAUGCAAGUCGUACGNGAACGUCACCUUCGGGUGGCAAGUAGAGUGGCGCACGGGUGAGUAACGCGUGGGUAAUCUACCUUCGGGUCUGGGACAACUCCGGGAAACUGGAGCUAAUACCGGAUAAGACCACGGAGUCCUUGGACUCUGCGGCCAAAGAUGGCCUCUUCUUGAAGGCUAUCGCCUGCUGAUGAGCCCGCGUCCCAUUAGCUUGUUGGUGAGGUAACGGCUCACCAAGGCACCGAUGGGUAGCUGGUCUGAGAGGAUGAUCAGCCACACUGGAACUGAGACACGGUCCAGACUCCUACGGGAGGCAGCAGUAGGGAAUCUUGGUCAAUGGGCGAAAGCCUGAACCAGCAACUCCGCGUGAGGGAUGAAGGCCCUCGGGUCGUAAACCUCUGUCGGGAGGGAAGAAAGCCGCAAGGUGAAUAAUCUCGCGGUCUGACGGUACCUCCAAAGGAAGCGCCGGCUAACUCCGUGCCAGCAGCCGCGGUAAUACGGAGGGCGCAAGCGUUGUUCGGAAUCAUUGGGCGUAAAGCGGGUGUAGGCGGCUUGGCAAGUCGGGUGUGAAAUCCCUGGGCUCAACCCAGGAACUGCACUCGAAACUGCCUCGCUAGAGUCUCGGAGAGGGUGGCGGA